CUGGGCUUCUCCUUAUUGUUGGUUUGAAGGACACGGAGAUGGUUAAUAGGGACAGCGUUUAUUUCACAAGGAGGCAUUAGUAUUUAAUUUCCAGAGGUGAAAUUUCUUUGAAAUAUUAAAGACUAACUUAUGCGAAAGCAUCGUUUGCCAAUGAUGUUUUCAUUAAUCAUUGAACGAAAGUUAGGGGAUCAAAGACGAUCAGAUACCGUCCUAGUCUUAACCAUAAACGUUGCCGACUAGGGAUCGGAGGGCGUGCACAAUCCGCCUUCGGCACCUUACGAGAAAUCAAAGUCUUUUGGGUUCUGUGGGUAGUAUGGUCGCAAGGCUGAAACUUAAAGGAAUUGACGGAAGGGCACCACCAGGAGUGGAGCUUGCGGCUCAAUUUGACUCAACACGGGAAAUCUUACCAGGUCCAGACAUAGCGAGGAUUGACAGAUUGAUAGCUCUUUCUUGAUUCUAUGGGUAUUUUGUGGUGCAUGG
RNAcentral lists this ribosomal RNA (480 nucleotides) under uncultured eukaryote. RNAcentral's name for it is "SSU rRNA". It matches the Rfam family "Eukaryotic small subunit ribosomal RNA", at positions 823 to 1287 of the family's 1831-position model. The record is from RNAcentral.